GUUCUGGCAAUGAAGAGUAUUUCUUUGCAUAGUUCACUCGGACGCACGGGAUGACGAUGCACUCACAGUCUUUCGCUCCUAUCUGAGCCUGCAA
This is a small nucleolar RNA of 94 nucleotides. It matches the Rfam family "Small nucleolar RNA snR60/Z15/Z230/Z193/J17". Rfam says of the family: The members of this family belong to the C/D class of snoRNAs which contain the C (UGAUGA) and D (CUGA) box motifs. Most of the members of the box C/D family function in directing site-specific 2'-O-methylation of substrate RNAs. The record is from Rfam.